This 243-nucleotide ribosomal RNA is filed under the name uncultured Staphylococcus sp. RNAcentral describes it as "partial 16S ribosomal RNA". It matches the Rfam family "Bacterial small subunit ribosomal RNA", at positions 96 to 334 of the family's 1533-position model. Lineage: Bacteria; Bacillati; Bacillota; Bacilli; Caryophanales; Staphylococcaceae. The record is from RNAcentral.
CGGCGGACGGGUGAGUAACACGUGAUAACCUACCUAUAAGACUGGGAUAACUUCGGGAAACCGGAGCUAAUACCGGAUAAUAUUUUGAACCGCAUGGUUCAAAAGUGAAAGACGGUCUUGCUGUCACUUAUAGAUGGAUCCGCGCUGCAUUAGCUAGUUGGUAAGGUAACGGCUUACCAAGGCAACGAUGCAUAGCCGACCUGAGAGGGUGAUCGGCCACACUGGAACUGAGACACGGUCCAG